AUGAGUAAUUUAUUUCAGUGAGCAGGAAGGCUGAGUUGUGUGUUUUUUUCUCUCUCUUAAUCAUUUCAAGAAUUAUAUUUUUUAAAAGAAGGGAAAUAAAUGAUAUUUUGCAGUACUUUUAUUUGCAGUAUUUUUAAUAAAAUGCUGCCAUUUCAGAUCAUAAUCUUUAUCUCUAUAGAUAUAUUUUUCAAGAACAUAGAAAGAAGAGGAUAGCUGUCACUGAUUAAGACAAUACAACACAGGACAACAAAGCGCCUGUAAAUUUACCCACAUGGAAAAGGAAUUCUCUGCAGGGACAUACAAAGAUUUCCCAGAUGACACACAGCUCUAUUUCCUUCUCUUGCAUCAUGCAGCCUCUAAAGUAUAUGCUUUCACCUAGAACAAGCAACUCCCUUUUUUCACUGCUUGAGAACAGAUGAUAUUUCAAAAGAGGCCUUCUGGACCUGCAACCCACCUUUUCAAAAACCUUCCCUGAAAGGAAGACUGGAUGAAAAUUGUUGGGUUCAACAAUGACUUCCUGAAGAGGGAUAAUAUACAACCACCUCCUUCAAGGCAACACUCUCUCCCCCAAGGAGGAUAACACCACUUCACCUCUCAAUUGUCCUUCCCAAAGCUAUGAGGGGGACAUAUCCCAAUAAAUAAAUGGCUGAAAACAAUCCAAUAUAAAA
Pantherophis guttatus is the source of this 668-nucleotide non-coding RNA. Lineage: Eukaryota; Metazoa; Chordata; Lepidosauria; Squamata; Colubridae. The record is from RefSeq and is a predicted model, not a curated record.